AUUGAACGCUGGCGGAAUGCUUUACACAUGCAAGUCGAACGGCAGCACGGGGGCAGCCCUGGUGGCGAGUGGCGAACGGGUGAGUAAUACAUCGGAACGUGCCCGGUCGUGGGGGAUAACGUAGCGAAAGUUACGCUAAUACCGCAUACGAUCUGAGGAUGAAAGCGGGGGACCUUCGGGCCUCGCGCGAUCGGCGCGGCCGAUGUCAGAUUAGGUAGUUGGUGGGGUAAAGGCCUACCAAGCCGACGAUCUGUAGCUGGUCUGAGAGGACGACCAGCCACACUGGGACUGAGACACGGCCCAGACUCCUACGGGAGGCAGCAGUGGGGAAUUUUGGACAAUGGGCGCAAGCCUGAUCCAGCCAUUCCGCGUGCAGGACGAAGGCCUUCGGGUUGUAAACUGCUUUUGUACGGAACGAAAAGGCUCUGGCUAAUACCUGGGGCUCAUGACGGUACCGUAAGAAUAAGCACCGGCUAACUACGUG
RNAcentral lists this ribosomal RNA (484 nucleotides) under uncultured bacterium. RNAcentral describes it as "partial 16S ribosomal RNA". It matches the Rfam family "Bacterial small subunit ribosomal RNA", at positions 30 to 507 of the family's 1533-position model. The record is from RNAcentral.